Molecule: long non-coding RNA, 1853 nt
Organism: Cercocebus atys (sooty mangabey)
Lineage: Eukaryota; Metazoa; Chordata; Mammalia; Primates; Cercopithecidae
Exons: 2
Source: RefSeq, a predicted model, not a curated record
UUAUAUGCCUGCGAAUAUAAAAUGUUAAUUUAUACUGUCAGGGUAAAAUUCAAGAGAACUCUGUUUUAGGACCUUGUGAAUUUCCUUGUGAGUAAAUUAGGAAGGAGGCCCUCUGGGGAGGUAUGUGACCUUCUAUCUUUUCAGCUAUUUAUUUAGGAACAAAAUGGGAGCCAGUUUUACAUGCUUCAUUUCCCAAGAUUAACUUUUUAUUUUGACAUAGUGAGUUUAAUGUCUCAAGAUUUUUACUUUCCUUUCACACUAGCAAACACAAUUCAGGAACACACAAAAAGCUUAAAUGCCAUAAACAAAUGAAUUUUAUUCCAGGAAUGCAAAAUUAUGGCAAUAUCUAAAAAAGUCAACUAAUAUAUCAUAUCAUUAGAACAAAGGAAAAAACUGUAUAAUCACUUCAAUAACUGCAGAAAAACAUAUUUAAUGAAAUUCAAUACUCUUCAUCACAAGAACACUUAAACUAGAAGUAAAGGAGAACACCCUAAAGCUGAUAAAUAGUAUCUAUAAAAAAAUACAAGGCUAACAUCACACUAAAUUGACUCUUCUCACUUCCACUCAAUAUUGCAGUAGAACUUUCAGCCAACAAAUAGGAAAAAAAAAAAUGAAAUAAAAGGAAUCCACAUUAGAAAGAAAGAAGUUAAACUAUCUCUAUUGGCAUAUAUCAUGAUCUUAUAAUAGAAAAUUUUUACAACUCCACUAAAAAAUAUUCAAGUAAACCAGUAAAACGAGUUUUGGAGAUACGAGGUCAAUAAACAAACAAAGAAAAAAUUCUACACAAUUGCAACGGAAAUUUAAACUAAAAUAAAGAUAAAACAAUCACCCUUAUAAUACUGUGAAAAAAUAUAAUUCUUAGCAAUAAGUUUAACAAAAAAUUGUACAAUUCUCACUGUGAAAUUAUUACCAGUGGUGGUUACCCAAGUUACUGACAGCAAAUCUUUAUGGUUCUGCAGCAAUCUGAAUUAUUGCCUCCUCAGAAGAAUGAAUUUGACUGAGGGGCAUAAGACAGAAAAGGAGACCAGCACAAGUUUCAGAACAGAAGCGAAGAUUCAUUAAAAAGGUUACAGCAGGAAAGAAAGGAAAGUACACUUGGGACAGAUCCAAGUGGCCAUUUUGAAGAUAUAAGUAUGAGAAAUGACAGAAAGAAACAGCAAUUUGAAAAGAAGCAUUUCAUUGCACCAGGAGGACUAUGAAAUCAAUGUCAGAUAUUCUGCUGAUACAACUCAGUUGUUACUUUAGCUCUGGGAGUUGUGGAAAGGUGCUGGUGUGGCCCACAGAAUACAGCCAUUGGAUGAAUAUAAAGACAAUCCUAGAUGAACUUGUUUGGAGAGGCCAUAAGAUGACUGUAUUGACACCUUUGGCUUCCAUUAUUAUUGACCACAGUAAAUCAUCUGCUCUUAAAUUUUGAAGUUUAUGCAACAUCUCUAACUAAAAAUAAUUGUGAGGGUCUUUUUGUGAAACUGAUCAAUAGAUGGAUAUAUUAUCUUCCAAAAGAUGCAUUUUGGUCAUAUUUUUCACAAGCACAAGAACUCUUUUGGGAAUCAACAGACUGUGUUAAUAACCUCUGUAAAGAUAUAGUUUUGAACAAGAAAAUUAUGGCAAAACUACAAGGAUCUAAGUUUGAUGUCGUUCUUGCAGAUGCCCUUGGUCCCUGUGGUGAACUGCUAGCUGAGCAUGUUAAAGGCAUGUUAAAUACGUGCCCUUUGUUGACAGUCUCCUGGCAACAUACUUGAGAAGUAUAGUUGAGGACUUCUAUUCCCCACUUCCCACAUACUUGUUGUUCUGUCAGAAUUAAGUGAUCAAAUGACAUUCAUGGAGAGGAUUAUAAAUCUAAUACAUGUGCUUUA